AUGAUGAGAUAUUGCCUUCAAUGCCUGUUGUUUCUGCAUAUCAGCCUUCCUUUCAAUACACCCCCUACAUAUUUGCCUUUUUUACUCCUACCCUUCAGGUUGCUGUUUUUACUGGCUUUGGUUUUCUCUUAUUUCCCUGAAUUCCAGGUGGGGGAGGAAGCUAUUGUUUUCGAACAUCCUGGUCCUGCUCCUCAUUUAUUAAUCACUAAUUCCAACUUGGCAGAAAGUAUAGACCAAAAGGUGCACGAGUCAAGUAUGUCACAUGCUUUUCCUGUCCAGGUAUUCCGGUGGUGCAACUACCCGGGGAGCGGGCCAACCCUGUCAUUUAGCAGUAAAUUUAUCCUGUGUUGGGAUAGAGAAACUGUGGGGAUAAAGGCAGCAGACCUAUCCCAUGACUAGGCUGGCGGAGGGGGGUGGAAAGCCUACCCCACAGCUGGGACAGGCCAGUCUCAGGUUCAGCCUGCUGUGAUGGAGCAGAUAAUAUGCCUCCAGAGGAACCAUCUGGAAAACUGAGCCACCACUCUCCUGUUGCUGCCCCAACGUAAAUUCUCAUGCACCUGUCUGCGUACCAGACGUCUUUCUCUCUGUUUUUUUUUCCUCUCAAUAAUGGGGCAUGUUGUCACAAUUAUUGCCAGUAAUAAACUCAGCUGAAUUUAAUAAACUCA
Long non-coding RNA from Cyprinus carpio (common carp), 665 nucleotides. The record is from Ensembl. Lineage: Eukaryota; Metazoa; Chordata; Actinopteri; Cypriniformes; Cyprinidae.